GAUCCAGACUCCUACGGGAGGCAGCAGUGAGGAAUAUUGGUCAAUGGGCGGAAGCCUGAACCAGCCAAGUCGCGUGAGGGAAGAAGGCCCUGCGGGUCGCAGACCUCUUUGGACGGGGAGCAAGGCCGCCGACGUGUCGGCGGAAGGAGAGUACCCGUAGAACAAGCAUCGGCUAACUCCGUGCCAGCAGCCGCGGUAAUACGGAGGAUGCGAGCGUUAUCCGGAUUUAUUGGGUUUAAAGGGUGCGUAGGUUGUUUUUUAAGUCAGCGGUGAAAGUUUGUGGCUCAACCAUAAAAUUGCCGUUGAAACUGGAAGACUUGAGUGUGUUUGAGGUAGGCGGAAUGCGUGGUGUAGCGGUGAAAUGCAUAGAUAUCACGCAGAACUCCGAUUGCGAAGGCAGCUUACUAAGCCAUAACUGACACUGAAGCACGAAAGCGUGGGGAUCAAACAGGAUUAGAUACCCCCGUAC
This 469-nucleotide ribosomal RNA is filed under the name uncultured bacterium. RNAcentral's name for it is "bacterial SSU rRNA". It matches the Rfam family "Bacterial small subunit ribosomal RNA", at positions 328 to 793 of the family's 1533-position model. The record is from RNAcentral.